CUACUCUGACACACCUGGAUUAAUCAGUCUGUCCAAUAAUGGGAAAUAAAGAAGCUGCAUUAAAUUCAGGAGGUAGUGGAUUGGAACCCAUAUAGAACCCAUUAUGGGUUCUGGUCAUUCGAUUUUGUUGUUCAGGUUUGGUUAUUUUGACAGCAUGUGUCCAACUGGUUGGAGUUUUUUGGUUGUUGUCAUUUAUAUUGUUUAUGUAAUUUGAGUUAUUUUGGGUUUGUCAUUUUUCUUUGAGUUUGAGCCCACUAAUCUCUUUUUUGUGUCCUUUUUCAGUUGCUGAGAGCCAGCGGUGGUGGUUCACCCUUAUAAUGUGCUGUAUCCCCGGUCCUCAGUUGUUACACUGUGUGAAUUUUGGUGUUAUUGUCACCUCCUUUGACUCACCGCACCUUGGUAAGAUUCAGCUCCUAAAAAAGGUUCCCCCUUCCCUGAGUGGGUGUGAUAUUUUAUUGAGGAUUUUUUAAAAUAAAGGAUUUCUUUCUUUUUAAAAUGAAACGUCUCCUGCUUCUUUUAAAGGCAGAACAAAUCUGAGUGCUUUAAAAAAUUUCCCUCAAAACUAAUUCCUUGGGCGAAAAUACCAAGGUGGCAUUAUUGGCUUUUAAAAUCAUCCAAAAACAACUAACAUCUUAACCAAACUAAAAUCUUUCAUUUCACCCCUUGACCUGCCACAUAUGUAACAGGCAAAAUGAAGGCAUGCAUGUUGCAAUCAUUUCUAGAGGGGUGAGUUUUGCUUUGCUGUUGAACUUGCUGCUUGUUGUCUGUAAUUGUUCAGCACAGAGUAGGAAGUCUUGGCUUGAAGAUGCAAACUCUGCAAGCUGCACCUGAAUAACAGGGAAAAUUGGACACCAUGGAGCAAUAAUUUGACCCAAUGUGUAUACUGUCACAUCUCCUGAUUAGUUAAGUUGUUUUUAUUUCAUCCCUCAUGUUUCUUGUGUUUCCUGUUUUAAUACUCACCCUUGUCUCUUGUUUCAGGUUCAUUGACUUCCUCCUCCUUGUGUAACCUGCUCCCCUGAUUACCCCGAUGUUCUGACCUCAUUUCAGUAUUGUUCGACUUGGCCUCUUGCCUGUUGAUUUGGAUACCUCUGCCUGUGCUUUUUUGGAUCCUGUGUACCAACUCUUUUUUUGAUUGUGAGUUUGCUUCUCUUUUGGUUCAGUGUUAGCCUGUCUACCUUAUAAGGGUGUAUACAGUGUGCAUGGAAAGGGACACUCACGCUCUCUAAACGCUUGAAUCCCUCUCUGUUAUGCUGCAACUCAAGCCUUUUGUUUAAUAAACAAUUUGUCAGUGAUGUAUUGAACGCUGGCUCUAAUUUGAUUGUGUG
Molecule: non-coding RNA, 1325 nt
Organism: Xyrichtys novacula (pearly razorfish)
Lineage: Eukaryota; Metazoa; Chordata; Actinopteri; Labriformes; Labridae
Source: the annotation of a GenBank genome assembly